This is a small nucleolar RNA of Meriones unguiculatus (Mongolian gerbil), 132 nucleotides long. Lineage: Eukaryota; Metazoa; Chordata; Mammalia; Rodentia; Muridae. The record is from Ensembl.
CCUGCUGCUAGAGUGAUUGCAGGGGUGGCUGACGUGUCGCAUGUGUGCCAGUAAGUGGCAGAGGGGAGAGAGGCCAUGUCUGCUCUCCGUAUUCUGACCUGUGAACAUCUGAGUGAUCAGGAGCCUAAUAGU